ACAUGCCAUGCCUCAGUACGGCGAGUGAGCGGCAAAAGCUCAAAUUUUAAAGCUGGCACCUUCGGUGUCCGCGUUGUAAUUUUGUGAGGCAUCUCCGGGUAGGGCGCCGGCCUAAGUUCCUUGGAACAGGACGUCAUAGAGGGUGAGAAUCCCGUGCUUGGCUGGCUGUCCCCGUCCAUGUGAGGUGUCUUCGACGAGUCGAGUUGUUUGGGAAUGCAGCUCAAAAUGGGUGGUAAAUUUCAUCUAAAGCUAAAUAUUGGUGGGAGACCGAUAGCGCACAAGUAGAGUGAUCGAAAGAUGAAAAGCACUUUGAAAAUAGAGUUAAAAAGUACGUGAAAUUGUUGAAAGGGAAGCGCUUGAGACCAGACUUCGGUGGGGGGUGAUCAGCUGUCCUUCUGGGCGGUGCACUUGCUCCCCUCCGGGCCAGCAUCGGUUGGGGCGGCGGGAUAAAGAUCACGGGAAUGUGGCUCCUUUCGGGGAGUGUUAUAGCCCGGGUGAAUGCCGCCAGCUCCGACCGAGGACCGCGCCUUCGGGCUAGGAUGCUUGGCAUAAUGGUCUUCAGCGACCCGUCUUGAACCACCGGAACAAGC
RNAcentral lists this ribosomal RNA (590 nucleotides) under Morchella sp. RNAcentral's name for it is "partial large subunit ribosomal RNA". It matches the Rfam family "Eukaryotic large subunit ribosomal RNA", at positions 68 to 671 of the family's 3401-position model. The record is from RNAcentral. Lineage: Eukaryota; Fungi; Ascomycota; Pezizomycetes; Pezizales; Morchellaceae.